Osmerus eperlanus (European smelt) is the source of this 500-nucleotide long non-coding RNA. RefSeq lists it as uncharacterized. The record is from RefSeq and is a predicted model, not a curated record. Lineage: Eukaryota; Metazoa; Chordata; Actinopteri; Osmeriformes; Osmeridae. The transcript has 2 exons.
UAAUGCGCAGACUCAGAAGAACCCAUUUUGACACACAUUUAAAAACAAAUUCUUGCGGAGACGCCAUUAAAGACAUUUUCAGGGAGUAUCACAUACAAAAGAAAAGCAAGGGUGAGGUAGUAGGGAACAUAAUAUUUUGUGAAAAUGUGUUUGAUAAUGUGUCUACCUCCAACAGGUAUUACAGAGCGCAAUGGAUGGCAACACAUGCUAGCAGUGCAUGGAGCUCCGUGUCUGCUCAAGCACGUGGAAAUUGCAGAGUAAGCCGUGAGACGCAAGCUGUUAUCGUCGAACACAAAAUAGGUUGGAGAUCGAACCAAACUGCAUUCAAUGCAUGCAGAAAACCUAGUGAUUUGUGCAUACGGUUGAGCUUAGCACCGUAUACGGUUAGGCAGCACUAUUUAGUUAUGUGUCCCUAACUGUGCCGAUGCAAUGGCAUGCGUUGUUAAGCAUUGGCAAUGUAGACAACGGAAUUCUCACAUUUUAAAUGAACUAAUUUAGUA